CCAGCAGCCGCGGUAAUUCCAGCUCCAAUAGCGUAUAUUAAAGUUGUUGCAGUUAAAAAGCUCGUAGUUGGAUUUCUGGCAGGAGCGUCCGGUCUCACACUCAGUGCGGGAACUUGGAUGUCUCUGGCCAUCUUUGGGGAUAUCCUGUUUGGCAUUAAGUUGUCGGGCAGGGGAUACCCAUCGUUUACUGUGAAAAAAUUAGAGUGUUUAAAGCAGGCUUAUGCCGUUGAAUAUAUUAGCAUGGAAUAAUAAGAUAGGACUUUGGUACUAUUUUGUUGGUUUGUGCACCAGAGUAAUGAUUAAUAGGGACAGUUGGGGCUAUUCGUAUUCCAUUGUCAGAGGUGAAAUUCUUGGAUUUCUGGAAGACGAACUACUGCGAAAGCAUUCGGCAAGGAUGUUUUCA
This 403-nucleotide ribosomal RNA is filed under the name uncultured eukaryote. RNAcentral describes it as "SSU rRNA". It matches the Rfam family "Eukaryotic small subunit ribosomal RNA", at positions 567 to 972 of the family's 1831-position model. The record is from RNAcentral.